GCCUGGAGAGCAGGGCUACAGGUUAGACCGUCGGUGACCCCUCUUUCUCCCAGCUUCUAGUAUAGGCCUGGCCUGCCCUUGGGAAACCUCCAGAACCUUCUGCGCCCGGCUAACAGAUGUGCCCCCCCCGCCCCCCCAAUCCCAGCCAUCCCCAUCCCGGCGCACACGUUUCCCCUCCUAUUUCCCCACCUGGUUACCUCUCCAAACCCCUUCCGUUGGAGCAGAGUGACCACAGACCCCUGCUCCGUCCCUGCUUCCGGCAGAAACGUCACACCCUUGACAGUAGGGCCAUGAGCUCAACCCACUCAGAGCGCCUUCCUGCCCACACCCUGGGGGGGGGGUCCCCCUGCCAUCUGGUCACUGUCCUCUGAGGUCACUCCCACGAAACGGGGGGGGGGGCUUCUGGCAAAGCAGCUCUCUGCCUGGGAUUUUGGGGCCUAGAACCUUCCAAAGCCUUCGUCCCCUCCCUAGACUGCGCCCGAGGUCUGGGUGGACACUGAGCACAAGGGAAGUGUGACCACGCCAGAAACGCAGACACCUGUGGGCCCCCACGGCACCAAGGGGAUCCCACAUAGGGGGGCUCCUGGAGGGGGGACCGUGGCCUGAGUCUUGAGGUGGAGCAGGGCUGCAGGGUCGGCCCAGUGGCUCCCCCGGGGCUGCGGAGGCCCCAAACCGAGAGCCUCGGAGACAACACAAGAGGGUGAGUGCAGGGCAGGUUUCCCAGGGGAUUAUUUCAUUCUUGCCAUCACAGCCAUAACCCGAUGGAUGCGGGGACUGAACAUUUGUGUCACCCCGUGUCAGUGCCGAAACAGGUACGGGUCACCGUCAAAAGGUUGUGUGUGGCCUGGCCACUUAGCGAACCGUGCGUUGGCCCCUCCUUGCGACCCACCAGUUUCACUCUUACGUGUGCACACAACAUGUUCCCCGAAGGACACGGACCAGAAUGUUCCUAACGGCUUCGGUCACGAUGG
Long non-coding RNA from Herpailurus yagouaroundi (jaguarundi), 971 nucleotides. RefSeq lists it as uncharacterized. Lineage: Eukaryota; Metazoa; Chordata; Mammalia; Carnivora; Felidae. The transcript is spliced from 2 exons. The record is from RefSeq and is a predicted model, not a curated record.